This is a long non-coding RNA of Corapipo altera (White-ruffed manakin), 208 nucleotides long. RefSeq lists it as uncharacterized. The transcript has 3 exons. The record is from RefSeq and is a predicted model, not a curated record. NCBI's taxonomy places the organism in Eukaryota, Metazoa, Chordata, Aves, Passeriformes, Pipridae.
CAAAUCCCUGGGGAACGUCAUCGACCCCCCUGGACGUGAUUAAGGGGGUGUCCCUGCAGGAGCUGCACGAGCAGCUGGAGAGCAGCAACCUGGACCCUGCGGAGCUGGAACGGGCCCGGGAGGGGCAGAAACGAGACUUCCCCGAGGGGAUCCCCGAGUGCGGGACGGACGCGCUGCGGUUCGCUCUGUGUGCCUACACUGCCCAGGG